This 783-nucleotide ribosomal RNA is filed under the name Streptomyces sp. RNAcentral's name for it is "bacterial SSU rRNA". It matches the Rfam family "Bacterial small subunit ribosomal RNA", at positions 89 to 883 of the family's 1533-position model. The record is from RNAcentral. Lineage: Bacteria; Bacillati; Actinomycetota; Actinomycetes; Kitasatosporales; Streptomycetaceae.
GGAUUAGUGGCGAACGGGUGAGUAACACGUGGGCAAUCUGCCCUGCACUCUGGGACAAGCCCUGGAAACGGGGUCUAAUACCGGAUAUGACGCGUGACCGCAUGGUCUGCGCGUGGAAAGCUCCGGCGGUGCAGGAUGAGCCCGCGGCCUAUCAGCUUGUUGGUGGGGUAAUGGCCUACCAAGGCGACGACGGGUAGCCGGCCUGAGAGGGCGACCGGCCACACUGGGACUGAGACACGGCCCAGACUCCUACGGGAGGCAGCAGUGGGGAAUAUUGCACAAUGGGCGAAAGCCUGAUGCAGCGACGCCGCGUGAGGGAUGACGGCCUUCGGGUUGUAAACCUCUUUCAGCAGGGAAGAAGCGAAAGUGACGGUACCUGCAGAAGAAGCGCCGGCUAACUACGUGCCAGCAGCCGCGGUAAUACGUAGGGCGCGAGCGUUGUCCGGAAUUAUUGGGCGUAAAGAGCUCGUAGGCGGCUUGUCACGUCGGAUGUGAAAGCCCGGGGCUUAACCCCGGGUCUGCAUUCGAUACGGGCAGGCUAGAGUUCGGUAGGGGAGAUCGGAAUUCCUGGUGUAGCGGUGAAAUGCGCAGAUAUCAGGAGGAACACCGGUGGCGAAGGCGGAUCUCUGGGCCGAUACUGACGCUGAGGAGCGAAAGCGUGGGGAGCGAACAGGAUUAGAUACCCUGGUAGUCCACGCCGUAAACGUUGGGAACUAGGUGUGGGCGACAUUCCACGUUGUCCGUGCCGCAGCUAACGCAUUAAGUUCCCCGCCUGGGGAGUAC